Molecule: long non-coding RNA, 267 nt
Filed under: Elaeis guineensis (African oil palm)
Lineage: Eukaryota; Viridiplantae; Streptophyta; Magnoliopsida; Arecales; Arecaceae
Description: long non-coding RNA (EGUI_LNC020297)
Source: RNAcentral
CCUCUUCUAAUUCUUCCUCUCCUUUGGAGCAUCCAAAAGAUCAAGAGAAGAAGAAGUAGUUCAGCCUACAAAGAUCCUUGCGAGCUAGUACUCCUGAGGAGCCUGAUCUGCAUCGAUCUUCUUGUGAAUGAUCUGAAGAGAUCAGACACCUUUGUGCAGCUAUAAGCAACCUGAAGGAGUAUCUAUCCAUGUGCUAGAUCAGUAGAGAUCUGCAGAUUAUAGUUUGUAAUGGUUUCUGAACUUGUUAGAUCAAUUUUCAUUAGAUCU